GGUGGCUCAGUGGUAGAGCGCUUGCCUUGUAUGCAUGAGCGCCUGGGUUCGAUUCCUCAGCACCA
RNAcentral lists this transfer RNA (65 nucleotides) under Dipodomys ordii (Ord's kangaroo rat). It matches the Rfam family "tRNA". From Rfam's summary of the family: Transfer RNA (tRNA) molecules are approximately 80 nucleotides in length. Their secondary structure includes four short double-helical elements and three loops (D, anti-codon, and T loops). The record is from Rfam by way of RNAcentral. Lineage: Eukaryota; Metazoa; Chordata; Mammalia; Rodentia; Heteromyidae.